CCAACAGUCCUUUUGAGGACUACAAAACAUUCAAGAAAGAUUACCG
Molecule: non-coding RNA, 46 nt
Organism: Strongylocentrotus purpuratus (purple sea urchin)
Lineage: Eukaryota; Metazoa; Echinodermata; Echinoidea; Camarodonta; Strongylocentrotidae
Source: Rfam